AGUAGUGUAUGCUUCUCCUAAAGACUAAGCCAUGCAUGUCUUCGAAUAAGAGGAAGCAAUUCUCUCUGAAUCUGCGAACGGCUCCGCAAACCAGUUGUAAACUAUGGCAAGCACGCCCAGGUCGCCGCAAGGCGGCUUGGGCAACACGGCUAACCCUGGUAAUUCUGAGGCUAAUACGACAAACGUAAAACCCGGCUGACCCUCACGGGAAGGCCGGGGAACGUGCGACGCAACACGGAAUAACUGGGAAAGGGCGCACGUUAAGACCGCGCUAAAAAGCACUGGGUGAACGCUUGCUUGCAAGCUGAAGCCCAGCGCCAGCGGCUCUUGCAGUGUGCUCCUGACCUAUCAACUAGAAGGCAGUGUAACGGACAUGCCUUGGUUACAACGGGUACAGAGGAUUAGGGUUCGAUCCUGGAGAGUGGGCCUGAGAGAUUGCUCAUACUUCUAAGGAAGGCAGCAGGCGCGCAACGUUCCCAUUGGGCAUUGCCCGAGGGCGUUAGGGGAAAUAUGAAUGCCUGCCAUUACGGUGGGCAAUUCAAAUGGGUCUGUUCUAAACAGCCUCU
RNAcentral lists this ribosomal RNA (566 nucleotides) under Diderma cor-rubrum. RNAcentral describes it as "SSU rRNA". It matches the Rfam family "Eukaryotic small subunit ribosomal RNA", at positions 19 to 537 of the family's 1831-position model. The record is from RNAcentral. Lineage: Eukaryota; Evosea; Eumycetozoa; Physariida; Didymiaceae.